AGUCUGGCCUGCCCAUUGGGUUACUAAAAGGCCGCGGUAUAGUGCCCGUGCGAAGGUAGCAUAAUCAUUAGUCUUUUAAUUGAAGGCUUGUAUGAAUGGUUGGACGAGAAGUAAUCUGUCUCUGUUGAAAAAAUUGAAUUUAACUUUUAAGUGAGAAGGCUUAAAUGAUCUAGAGGGACGAUAAGACCCUAUAAAGUUUAAUAUUAUAACAAUAGAGAAUUAAUUAGGUUAUAAGAUUUAUUAUUGUAGGUAGUAUUUUGUUGGGGCGACAAGAAUAUAAAUAAUUUAACUGUUCUUUUUUAUAUCAAAAAUAUUUGGGUUGAUGAUCUUUUUAAGAGUAUUAGAGUAAAUUACUUUAGGGAUAACAGCGUAAUUUUUUUUGAGAGUUCUUAUCGACAGAAGAGUUUGCGACCUCGAUGUUGAAUUAAAGAUUCUUUAUAGCGCAGAAGUUAUAUAAGAAGGUCUGUUCGACCUUUAAAUCUUUACAUGAUUUGAGUUCAGACCGGUGUGAGCCAGGUUGGUUUC
This 525-nucleotide ribosomal RNA is filed under the name Euastacus bispinosus (Glenelg cray). RNAcentral's name for it is "partial 16S ribosomal RNA". It matches the Rfam family "Bacterial large subunit ribosomal RNA", at positions 1851 to 2638 of the family's 2925-position model. The record is from RNAcentral. Lineage: Eukaryota; Metazoa; Arthropoda; Malacostraca; Decapoda; Parastacidae.